GCUCGCUUGGUGGAAAUGGUAAACACGACAGGCUUAAAAGAGGUUCCUAUGGAUUAUCGGUUCGGAUCCGAUAGCGAGUG
This 80-nucleotide transfer RNA is filed under the name Zamia furfuracea. RNAcentral's name for it is "tRNA-Leu". Lineage: Eukaryota; Viridiplantae; Streptophyta; Cycadopsida; Cycadales; Zamiaceae. The record is from RNAcentral.